This 253-nucleotide ribosomal RNA is filed under the name uncultured bacterium. RNAcentral describes it as "partial 16S ribosomal RNA". It matches the Rfam family "Bacterial small subunit ribosomal RNA", at positions 524 to 776 of the family's 1533-position model. The record is from RNAcentral.
UACGAAGGGGGCUAGCGCUGUUCGGAAUCACUGGGCGUAAAGCGCCCGCAGGCGGAUCGAUAAGUCGGGGGUGAAAGCCCGGGGCUCAACCUCGGAAUUGCCUUCGAUACUGUCGGUCUCGAGUACGGGAGAGGUGAGUGGAAUUCCUAGUGUAGAGGUGAAAUUCGUAGAUAUCAGGAGGAACACCGGUGUCGAAGGCGGCUUCCUGGACCGAGACUGACGCUGAGACGCGAAAGCGUGGGGAGCAAACAGG